UUUCUCUCAAGCAUCGAAACGUAUGAUUCAGUUUACGAAAAAAUGGUCAAAAGAAUAGAUACAUUCCUUCGUGUCAAAUCCUCCUAUAUAUACGCUCUACCGGGAGCUGUAGUGAAGCCAUAACAUGGGACAGGACAAGAAUGUCUAUGGACAGGAUCAAAGCAGACGAUUGAUUCAGGAAGGACUAUGAACCGACAAUUCCCGACGAUGAUGAGGGAGUCACCAAUAUUGACGGGCCAGUCUUCUCAUUGAAGGAAGUGGUAUGAGAUGAUUGGAUAUUCAUUGUGCCUUCCUAAACUUCGAUCUGUUUUGCAUGACCAUGAACUCAAAUGCAAGAGCGCGAGGGCCGCUGGAGUCCUAGUUGCCUUAGUACUGUUUCUGCAGAGGUAAUGGAAAUUAAUUCUCAAGGCAUGAAAGCUCUAUUUACUGCUUAUACAUUUCGAGCCCGAUCUCAUGCUUUUAUCGGGCCUGUUUCUUUUCCUCUUUCUUCAUUUUUGAGACAAGCCCGUAAUUAUUAUGUAGUCGAGCUAAGGAAGUCAUUCGGAGAUUCUUCGAGUUAUAGACAGUUAUGUAAGAGGUUAUCAAACGAGCUUGGGGUACCGCAAGCCACACAAAGAGCUCAUGGCCUGAGAAUUAUGAAGAGAAGAGAAAACUAUGGAAAGGAAAUUAUUCUUAGUUAAUAGUGUGCGAAUUAUUUGGAUUUUAUAUAUAUUUAUGAUGUGGUAGGUUGUGAAUAUUUAGGCAGAAGAGGGAAAACUGUAAAAAUUUGAGUUUCUGGUAAGAAGAAUCAAUUGAAAUUCUGAAGAGAAAAAAAAAAAAGAAAAAAAGAAGGAAAUUACAUAUAAAC
Punica granatum (pomegranate) is the source of this 847-nucleotide non-coding RNA. NCBI's taxonomy places the organism in Eukaryota, Viridiplantae, Streptophyta, Magnoliopsida, Myrtales, Lythraceae. The record is from RefSeq and is a predicted model, not a curated record.